RNAcentral lists this ribosomal RNA (382 nucleotides) under uncultured eukaryote. RNAcentral's name for it is "partial 18S ribosomal RNA". It matches the Rfam family "Eukaryotic small subunit ribosomal RNA", at positions 592 to 976 of the family's 1831-position model. The record is from RNAcentral.
CAAUAGCGUAUAUUAAAGUUGUUGCAGUUAAAAAGCUCGUAGUUGGACUUCUGCGGGUGGCGGCCGGUCGUGCUCGAAACGGGCGUGAACUUGGCGUGCUGCCCGCAUCUUUGGGGAGAUUGUGCGUGGCAUUAAGUUGUCGUGCAUGGGAUUCUCAUCAUUUACUGUGAAAAAAUUAGAGUGUUUAAAGCAGGCCUUUGCCUUGAAUACAUUAGCAUGGAAUAAUAAGAUAGGACCGUUGUCUAUUUUGUUGGUUUACAGAUGUCGGUAAUGAUUAAUAGGGAUAGUUGGGGGUAUUCGUAUUCAGUUGUCAGAGGUGAAAUUCUUGGAUUUUCGGAAGACGCACGACUGCGAAAGCAUUUAUCAAGGAUGUUUUCAUUAA